RNAcentral lists this ribosomal RNA (1924 nucleotides) under Escherichia coli. RNAcentral describes it as "partial 23S ribosomal RNA". It matches the Rfam family "Bacterial large subunit ribosomal RNA", at positions 1 to 1922 of the family's 2925-position model. The record is from RNAcentral. Lineage: Bacteria; Pseudomonadati; Pseudomonadota; Gammaproteobacteria; Enterobacterales; Enterobacteriaceae.
AGAUUAAGUUAUUAAGGGCGCACGGUGGAUGCCUUGGCACUAGAAGCCGAUGAAGGACGUUACUAACGACGAUAUGCUUUGGGGAGCUGUAAGUAAGCUUUGAUCCAGAGAUUUCCGAAUGGGGAAACCCAGCAUGAGUUAUGUCAUGUUAUCGAUAUGUGAAUACAUAGCAUAUCAGAAGGCACACCCGGAGAACUGAAACAUCUUAGUACCCGGAGGAAGAGAAAGAAAAUUCGAUUCCCUUAGUAGCGGCGAGCGAAACGGGAAGAGCCCAAACCAACAAGCUUGCUUGUUGGGGUUGUAGGACACUCUAUACGGAGUUACAAAGGACGACAUUAGACGAAUCAUCUGGAAAGAUGAAUCAAAGAAGGUAAUAAUCCUGUAGUCGAAAAUGUUGUCUCUCUUGAGUGGAUCCUGAGUACGACGGAGCACGUGAAAUUCCGUCGGAAUCUGGGAGGACCAUCUCCUAAGGCUAAAUACUCUCUAGUGACCGAUAGUGAACCAGUACCGUGAGGGAAAGGUGAAAAGCACCCCGGAAGGGGAGUGAAAUAGAACCUGAAACCGUGUGCUUACAAGUAGUCAGAGCCCGUUAAUGGGUGAUGGCGUGCCUUUUGUAGAAUGAACCGGCGAGUUACGAUUUGAUGCAAGGUUAAGCAGUAAAUGUGGAGCCGUAGCGAAAGCGAGUCUGAAUAGGGCGUUUAGUAUUUGGUCGUAGACCCGAAACCAGGUGAUCUACCCUUGGUCAGGUUGAAGUUCAGGUAACACUGAAUGGAGGACCGAACCGACUUACGUUGAAAAGUGAGCGGAUGAACUGAGGGUAGCGGAGAAAUUCCAAUCGAACCUGGAGAUAGCUGGUUCUCUCCGAAAUAGCUUUAGGGCUAGCCUCAAGUGAUGAUUAUUGGAGGUAGAGCACUGUUUGGACGAGGGGCCCCUCUCGGGUUACCGAAUUCAGACAAACUCCGAAUGCCAAUUAAUUUAACUUGGGAGUCAGAACAUGGGUGAUAAGGUCCGUGUUCGAAAGGGAAACAGCCCAGACCACCAGCUAAGGUCCCAAAAUAUAUGUUAAGUGGAAAAGGAUGUGGCGUUGCCCAGACAACUAGGAUGUUGGCUUAGAAGCAGCCAUCAUUUAAAGAGUGCGUAAUAGCUCACUAGUCGAGUGACACUGCGCCGAAAAUGUACCGGGGCUAAACAUAUUACCGAAGCUGUGGAUUGUCCUUUGGACAAUGGUAGGAGAGCGUUCUAAGGGCGUUGAAGCAUGAUCGUAAGGACAUGUGGAGCGCUUAGAAGUGAGAAUGCCGGUGUGAGUAGCGAAAGACGGGUGAGAAUCCCGUCCACCGAUUGACUAAGGUUUCCAGAGGAAGGCUCGUCCGCUCUGGGUUAGUCGGGUCCUAAGCUGAGGCCGACAGGCGUAGGCGAUGGAUAACAGGUUGAUAUUCCUGUACCACCUAUAAUCGUUUUAAUCGAUGGGGGGACGCAGUAGGAUAGGCGAAGCGUGCGAUUGGAUUGCACGUCUAAGCAGUAAGGCUGAGUAUUAGGCAAAUCCGGUACUCGUUAAGGCUGAGCUGUGAUGGGGAGAAGACAUUGUGUCUUCGAGUCGUUGAUUUCACACUGCCGAGAAAAGCCUCUAGAUAGAAAAUAGGUGCCCGUACCGCAAACCGACACAGGUAGUCAAGAUGAGAAUUCUAAGGUGAGCGAGCGAACUCUCGUUAAGGAACUCGGCAAAAUGACCCCGUAACUUCGGGAGAAGGGGUGCUCUUUAGGGUUAACGCCCAGAAGAGCCGCAGUGAAUAGGCCCAAGCGACUGUUUAUCAAAAACACAGGUCUCUGCUAAACCGUAAGGUGAUGUAUAGGGGCUGACGCCUGCCCGGUGCUGGAAGGUUAAGAGGAGUGGUUAGCUUCUGCGAAGCUACGAAUCGAAGCCCCA